Candoia aspera is the source of this 408-nucleotide non-coding RNA. The record is from the annotation of a RefSeq genome assembly. Lineage: Eukaryota; Metazoa; Chordata; Lepidosauria; Squamata; Candoiidae.
AUGAUCCUGUGGCUGAAUUUGGUUUCCUUCCUAGCAAUCCUCAGAGGUGUCCUGUCAGAGGCCCAGUUGGUGGAGUCCGGAGGGGACAUGAGGAGGCCUGGAGAGUCCCUCCGUCUCUCAUGCCAAGGCUCCGGCUUCACCUUCAGCAGCUAUGACAUGAGCUGGGUGAGACAGGCACCUGGAAAAGGGCUGGAAUGGGUCGCACUCAUAUGGACCAAUUCCGGUAAGCAGUACUAUGCAGAGUCUGUGAAGGGACGCUUCACCAUCUCCAGGGACAACUCCAAAAGCCAAGUCUACCUGCAAAUGAGCAGCCUGAAGCUGGAGGACUCAGCAGUCUAUUACUGUGCAAGACACACAGUGAGAGGAAGUGAGUCUGAAGCCUGGCAAAAACCUUCCCUUCCUCAGAGC